GCAAUGUCUGUCUCCCGGUAACAGCGGUCUCCUAGCAAUGGGAUAUUUUUCCGGGCUCUGGCUGAAGAUCUGGUAGUUAUUUUUAGCUCAGCUGCAGAUCAAUAGGCAGCUGCAUUUUCAGCUACUGGAGAAGAUGCUGUUUGGGGAGGGGAGUGGAGACUGGAUUUCUCGUCAAAGGGGGAAAAACAUUUCAGGCGACAGAAACAUCUUGGAUGAGUGUCCUGGUGGAACAGAUCUGGCUGGCCCAUCGGCCUGCCUCACCCAGAUUGCUUCCCCCGGGCCUACUGCACUGAUACCUCAGAACAGGGAGGGGUGGAGGGGAUUUAAUUGGGUAUGAAAAAUACCGGAAACAGAAAUUAAGAGACUUGAGGAACAGCUGAGGAAAUACUAAGUAACUGUUCUCUCAGUGUAGCCGGGAGCUGGUUUGCUGAGUCAGUACAGGGUGGUUUUUUUCCCUUUACUCCACUCCCUUCCUCACUCAGGGGCCAGGUUCAUCCAGGCUGGCAGGAGGUCUUGGGGCAGACACAUGUUUGCUUACAGGGGGGGUCUUAGCCAUGCUACACUGCUCUUGGGGCAUUAUAAGUCUGAAGCCCACACUGAGCCCUCCAUCAAUAUUUAAGCAUGGUUCUAUAGGAUGAAGGCCAUAGGAAGCAAGACCAGUGUUUUUCUCCUCAGGGGAAUAGCCGUACUCCCCAACUCUUUCCUCCUUCCCUAACGGUCUAAGCUGCCUCAUCUUGCCUUUUCUUCUCCCCACCUAGCCAAAGAGAGAAGACAAAAAUAAUUCUUGAUUCUGAUUAUUCCAGGAUUUCUCUGUUCCUUCUCUCCCCAUCAGGAAAGGGUCUCUUUUGUCCAGGGCAUGUGAGAUGCAUGUGAGAUGAGAGGGGGAGGUCACUUCUAUAGAAUAAAGUCUAUUUGACCUUUUACCUGGACUUCUCUGGGACAAGACAAGGCCUCCUACCACUGGCUUUUGCCCUCACCCUGAAGUAUGUAGAGGGAUUUCAGAAAAAAAGAUGCUUCCUGAGGGAGAAAUUUGCACAGAAAUUUCUAUUACACAAGAAAUGACCAGCCAUGUUUCAGAUGAGAAGGCUGAGUCUCAGAGUGUGAAGUGAUUUAUCCUACAUCAUACAGACCAGAACCUGAGAUUUCUGAGUUUCAGCCCAUUGUCCUUUCCUCUGAUCCUGACUUUGCAUAUUUUGAUGCAUAGGUGUCCCUGAGCAAGUUAUCUCCGAGCCUUCCUUUCCUUAAAAAUGGCAGGAUGAUUUCAGAGAAGCCUGAAGAGACUUACAUGAACUGAUGCUAAGUGAAGGGAGUAGAACCAAGAGAUCAUUAUACACAGCAACAAGAUUAUACAAAGAUCAGUUCUGAUGGAAUGGCUCUCUUCAACAAUGAGAUGAUUCCAACCAGUUGCAAUGAUCAUGCGAUGAAGAGUCAUCUGUAUCCAGAGAGAAGACUGUGGGGAAUGAGUGUGGAUUAGCAUAGUAUUUCCACUCUUUCUGUUUUUUACUUGCAUUUUGUUUUCUUUCUCAUUUUUUUCCUUUUUGACCUAAU
This is a long non-coding RNA of Sarcophilus harrisii (Tasmanian devil), 1548 nucleotides long. RefSeq lists it as uncharacterized. The record is from RefSeq and is a predicted model, not a curated record. The transcript is spliced from 3 exons. NCBI's taxonomy places the organism in Eukaryota, Metazoa, Chordata, Mammalia, Dasyuromorphia, Dasyuridae.